AGAGUUUGAUCAUGGCUCAGAGCGAACGCUGGCGGCAUGCUUAACACAUGCAAGUCGCACGGGCAGGGGAAACUCUGUCAGUGGCGGACGGGUGAGUAACGCGUAGGUAUCUAUCCUUGGGUGGGGGACAACUGUGGGAAACUACAGCUAAUACCGCAUAAUAACUGAGGUUUAAAGGCGCAAGUCGCCUGGGGAGGAGCCUGCGUACGAUUAGCUAGUUGGUGGGGUAAAGGCCUACCAAGGCUGCGAUCGUUAGCUGGUCUGAGAGGAUGAUCAGCCACAUUGGGACUGAGACACGGCCCAAACUCCUACGGGAGGCAGCAGUGGGGAAUAUUGGACAAUGGGCGAAAGCCUGAUCCAGCAAUGCCGCGUGUGUGAAGAAGGUCUUCGGAUUGUAAAGCACUUUCGACGGGGACGAUGAUGACGGUACCCGUAGAAGAAGCCCCGGCUAACUUCGUGCCAGCAGCCGCGGUAAUACGAAGGGGGCUAGCGUUGCUCGGAAUGACUGGGCGUAAAGGGCGCGUAGGCGGAUGACACAGUCAGAUGUGAAAUUCCCGGGCUUAACCUGGGGGCUGCAUUUGAUACGUGUUGUCUAGAGUGAGGAAGAGGGUUGUGGAAUUCCCAGUGUAGAGGUGAAAUUCGUAGAUAUUGGGAAGAACACCGGUGGCGAAGGCGGCAACCUGGUCCUUGACUGACGCUGAGGCGCGAAAGCGUGGGGAGCAAACAGGAUUAGAUACCCUAGUAGUCC
Molecule: ribosomal RNA, 748 nt
Filed under: uncultured bacterium
Lineage: Bacteria
Description: bacterial SSU rRNA
Rfam family: Bacterial small subunit ribosomal RNA
Source: RNAcentral